GGAUGUGAGGGUAACCUGGAUGAGAUGACUGUCACCCCGUUGACCACCUGUUUGAUUUGAAUGAUAUGGCUAGCUGGGCAAGUGUCCGUUUUUCCUUCAAUGUCCAUGUGAGUCUCUCCAGAAGCUGUGCCUCAGGUAGAAGAGGCCUUCUCAUAUAGAGAAGUCUUUGGUCAAGGGUUUACCAGUAGCUGUUUUCCCAUAAUACAAUUCCAGACAAAGCAUGAGAACCCUCUUUUUGCCUCUGAACUCUCUAUCCAGUCUCUCUACUCUCAUCAUCAUUCAGUGCAUGGGGCAUGACAGCA
This 302-nucleotide small nuclear RNA is filed under the name Rattus norvegicus (Norway rat). RNAcentral describes it as "7SK RNA". It matches the Rfam family "7SK RNA". From Rfam's summary of the family: 7SK was discovered as an abundant small nuclear RNA in the mid-70s but a possible function has only recently been suggested. Two independent studies have found that 7SK RNA binds the CDK9/cyclin T complex (known as elongation factor P-TEFb). P-TEFb activates transcription by phosphorylating the C-terminal domain of RNA polymerase II. Lineage: Eukaryota; Metazoa; Chordata; Mammalia; Rodentia; Muridae. The record is from Rfam by way of RNAcentral.